RNAcentral lists this long non-coding RNA (1225 nucleotides) under Homo sapiens (human). Its description in RNAcentral is "non-protein coding lnc-RASL10A-1:1". The record is from RNAcentral. Lineage: Eukaryota; Metazoa; Chordata; Mammalia; Primates; Hominidae.
CUGGGAUUACAGGCGUGAGCCACUGCACCCAGCCAAUUUUUAAAAUUUUUUCUAGAGUCGGGGUCUCACUGUGUUGCCCAGGCUGGUCUGGAACUCCUGGGCCCAAGCGAUCCUCCCGCCUGGGCCUCCCCAAGGUGCUGGAAUUACAGGCGUCAGCCACUGCACCCAGCCCAAGGUGCAGAGAAUUUAAGUAACUUGCACAGAUGACACAGCCCUGGAAGGAGGUUUCAAACCCAAGAAAAGAAACUUUCAGAGGCUUGGAAGCCCAGCCCUGCCCAGCCUCCUUGUGUCCUGAUGGCUGGAAGACCAGCCCAGCCCUCAAGAGGCUGCCUGGCUGUGAUUAGUGGGAGUCAUCAUGAGGAUGUCCAAGGACCCACUACACCCCAAGCAUGUGAGCUGUGGAGGAUCCCUCCAUUCGUGGGUCCAGGAGGAAUUGAAGCAGCUCACAAAACCCAGAAGCCUGAAAAGUCAAAAACCCAGAAGUUUGGCCAGAUGUGGUGGCUCACGCCUGUAAUCCUCGCACUUUUGGAGGCUGAGGAGGGAGGAUUGCUUAAGCCAGGAGUUCAAGACCAGCCUGGGCAACAUAGUGAGAUUCCACCUCUACAAAAAAUAAAAAUAAAUCAGCUGGAUGUCGUAGUACACACCUGCAGUCCCAGCUAUUUGAGAGACUGAGGCAAGGAGGAUCACUUGAACCCAGGAGGUUGAGGAUGCAGUGAGCUAAGAUCACACCACUGCACUCCAGCUUGGGUGACAGAGCAAGACCUUGUCUCAAACAACAAAACCCAGAAGUCUGAAAAGUUACAACGUGAAAGAGGACAUCAAGUGAAGGGAAAAAUCAUGGUAGGAAAGAAAGAUGAAGCCAGCAGUCCCCACUCACUGAGCUAGAAGACCUGGAACACUAGACAGAGGUGGUUCUGAGCUUCCUAGUGGCUGAGGAGAGGAGUGAAAGCGGACCCCAGCCCCCGAUCUAGCAUGGGAGGAUGAAAGCACAGCCAUUGUUCUGGAGACACUUUCUGGUUGUCAUUAUACAGGCUCCCUGGAGGAUGUGCCUCCUCCCCCUUCAGGAUUUAGCUCCUCUACUUCCCCUGGGCUGGUGUGGGCACAUUGUCUGUGCUUUGACAGUCCCUAGAUCCCAUGUGUUCUAGAACCUUCUCUCCCAAAGCAGAACUUUUUUUUUUUUUCCUGUUUUCUGUUUUUUAAAUCUAUCUCAGCCUCCUGACAAGCA